Molecule: long non-coding RNA, 1393 nt
Organism: Amphiprion ocellaris (clown anemonefish)
Lineage: Eukaryota; Metazoa; Chordata; Actinopteri; Pomacentridae
Exons: 4
Source: RefSeq, a predicted model, not a curated record
UUUUAAAAGGCUUUUUGCUGUCUAAAACGGGGAGGAAGUAGCUCAAGGGACAUUCAGAUUUGUUAAUGAAGAGUUAUUGGAGUCUUAAUUCAUUCUGUUUUGUUAAUGAAAUGAGUAAGAAACCACAUUUUCAGAGAUUUGAGAACUGAUAGGACGGAUUAUAGAGUUGAAUCUGUGAAAUCAAAUCUUUCGAUACUCAGCCUUGUUUUAUCAUCCUGUUUAAUAAAGCUUUAAGUCUGUUGUUUUUAGACUUUCAUAGUAAAUGACUCCUUAAGUGUUUCACCUUUUUCUCCUGCUGUUUUUUUUUCUUCUUUGCAUUUAGCCACACUUUAAUCUGUGAUUAAAACUUUCUACUGUGUCUCUCUGCUUCCUGAAUCUUCCACCUGCCUGCAGUCUGAUUGCAGCAAUGAGAAUCAGCUGCCGUAAUUGGCUCACACCAGUCACCUGUUUGCAAUUCCACCUCCCAGCAUAUAAGCCAGCUCUGUCAUUCACUCCCUGCUCCACCAUGGACUCGCAUAUCCUGCGUCAACUCAUGACCACCAGAGCUUCUUGGACACGAUGCUGCCCUUGUACCCCUGCCAGUUCCUGUUUGGGUUUCCUACCUACCCUUUCAGCUGAGUUUCUUCCCGUUCUUUCAGCCCUUCCUCCCUGACUGUUCCACCUGCCUGCAGUCUGAUUGCAGCAAUGAGAAUCAGCUGCCGUAAUUGGCUCACACCAGUCACCUGUUUGCAAUUCCACCUCCCAGCAUAUAAGCCAGCUCUGUCAUUCACUCCCUGCUCCACCAUGGACGCGCACAUCCUGCGUCGACUCGUGACCACCAGAGCUUUUUGGACACGACUCUGCCCUUGUACCUCUGCCGGUUCCUGUUUGGGUUUCCUACCUACCCCUUCAGCUGAGUUUCUUCCCGUUCUUUCAGCCCUUCCUCCCUGACUGUUCCACCUGCCUGCAGUCUGAUUCCAGCAAUGAGAAUCAGCUGCUGUAAUUGGCUCACACCAGUCACCUGUUUGCAAUUCCACCUCCCAGCAUAUAAGCCAGCUCUGUCAUUCACUCCCUGCUCCACCAUGGAUGCGCACAUCCUGCGUUGACUCGUGACCACCAGAGCUUCUUGGACACGACGCUACCCUUGUACCUCUGCCGGUUCCUGUUUGGGUUUCCUACCUACCCCUUCAGCGGAGUUUCUUCCCAUUCUUUCAGCCCUUCCUCCCUGACUGUUCCACCUGCCUGCAGUCUGAUUGCAGCAAUGAGAAUCAGCUGCCGUAAUUGGCUCACACCAGUCACCUGUUUGCAAUUCCACCUCCCAGCAUAUAAGCCAGCUCUGUCAUUCACUCCCUGCUCCACCAUGGACUCGCAUAUCCUGCGUCGACUCGUGACCACCAGAGCUUUUUGGACACGA